CCUUUUUCCAAUCAGUGAAACUAAUCUCCCCGUGAAGAAGCGAGGAUACUAUUAUAAGACGAGAAGACCCCAUGGAGCUUCAAACCCAACUGCACCCCCAAUUUACAUAACCUCUAAAUCUCUGGGAUCCUGCACCGUUGGUUUUAGGUUGGGGCGACCACGGAGUACAACAAAACCUCCACAAUGAACGGGACUAUUCCCUUAUCUAAGAGUCACAUCUCUAAGAAUUAAUAUAUUAAUAUAAAAUGAUCCAUUUUUUGAUCAAUGAACCAAGUUACCCUGGGGAUAACAGCGCAAUCCAUUUCAAGAGCCCCUAUCGACAAAUGGGAUUACG
This 334-nucleotide ribosomal RNA is filed under the name Mantidactylus georgei. RNAcentral describes it as "partial 16S ribosomal RNA". It matches the Rfam family "Bacterial large subunit ribosomal RNA", at positions 2022 to 2522 of the family's 2925-position model. The record is from RNAcentral. Lineage: Eukaryota; Metazoa; Chordata; Amphibia; Anura; Mantellidae.